This is an RNA transcript of Trematomus bernacchii (emerald rockcod), 3440 nucleotides long. It is a transcript of the gene named TAR DNA binding protein, with no coding region annotated. The transcript is spliced from 6 exons. The record is from RefSeq and is a predicted model, not a curated record. Lineage: Eukaryota; Metazoa; Chordata; Actinopteri; Perciformes; Nototheniidae.
AGGCCGUACAUGUUGGUUUAAAUAUUUCGCCUCGUGGAAAAAGAAAUACAUUUCCUUCUGUUAUUCUUACUUGAGACAAGAAGAGAUUCGUGCUUACGUUGGAUGACCUUAUCAACCCGCCCACGUUAUUUUGACGAUAUCGCGUUGUUAGGUUUGUUAACGAGGGACCGUACGCAGUUUUCAUUACGAGGCACAGUUGAACGCUCGUUCGGUGUUGACGACACACAACCCCGCGACGAACAAAGGAAAAGGCUGGUGCACGCUUGUUAGUGCGUUUGGAGAGUGAUAUUAUACAACAAUUCAGCUAAAACUCACCAUAACGACCUUUUUGUUAUGGAAUUUUAACUUUAUAUAUUUUUUUAUCGGAAUAACAAAACAAUUAGCUUGAUCAUUCAGUCUGGUUAGCAGCAUCGGCUAACGUUAGCUUUGAUUGUGGACAACUGGCAAGCUAACUGCUAACUUUAGCAUUGUUUUCAUUCUAGCCGGAACUUUUUAGUUUUUGGCACAAUGGCUGAAGUAUAUAUUCGAGUGGCUGAGGAGGAAAAUGAGGAGCCAAUGGAGAUUCCGUCCGAGGACGACGGUACUGUUCUGCUUUCAACAGUGGCGGCUCAGUUUCCAGGGGCUUGCGGCCUACGCUUCAGGAGCCCCGUGUCUCAGUGCAUGCGGGGAGUGCGUCUGGUGGAAGGGAUCCUACACGCACCAGAAAACGGAUGGGGGAAUGUCGUGUUUGUGGUGAACUAUCCGAAAGGUCACACUUCAGACAACAAAAGGAAAAUGGAGGAAAUUGACGCCUCAUCUGCAGUGAAAAUGAAGAGAGGGGAUAUGAAAACAUCGGAUCUGAUUGUACUGGGCCUUCCUUGGAAAACAUCUGAGCAGGACCUGAAAGACUACUUUGGCACAUUUGGAGAGGUCAUCAUGGUUCAGGUAAAACGAGAUGCCAAGACUGGAAACUCUAAAGGGUUUGGCUUUGUGAGGUUCACAGAAUAUGAGGUUCAAGAAAAGGUUGUGUCCCAGCGCCAUAUGAUUGACGGAAGAUGGUGUGACUGCAAGCUCCCUAACUCAAAGCAAGGGCCCGAUGAGCCAUUGAGGAGCCGGAAGGUGUUUGUAGGCCGUUGCACAGAAGACAUGACCACUGACGACCUGAGGCAGUUCUUUAUACAGUAUGGCGAAGUCACAGACGUCUUCAUCCCAAAGCCAUUCCGUGCUUUUUCCUUCGUCACAUUUGCAGAUGAUCAGGUUGCCCAAGCUCUCUGUGGAGAGGACCUAAUAAUUAAAGGUGUCAGUGUUCACAUCUCAAAUGCUGAGCCCAAACACGGCAAUAGGCAGUUUGAUCGCACGACACGGUUUGGAAAUGGUUUCGGAGCUCAGGCUUUUGGUAGCAGCCGUAGCGGGGUUAGCGGGGGCAGCGCUAACAGUAGUCUGUCUAAUUUUGGUUCCUUCAGUCUGAAUCCGGCUAUGAUGGCUGCGGCCCAGGCAGCUCUUCAGAGUAGUUGGGGGAUGAUGGGAAUGCUAGCUAGCCAGCAACAGACAUCCACCCCAGGCAGCACCUCUAGUGGAACUAGCUCCAGCAGGGACCAGAGUCAGUCUUUCAGUGCGGCCAACAGCAACUACGGCGCCAGCUCGGCCAGUCUCGGCUGGGGAACAGGGUCAAACUCUACAACCAGCGGUAGUGGGUUUAGCUCAGGGUUUGGGUCCAGUAUGGAGUCAAAGUCAUCUGGGUGGGGUAUGUAAGCUAAAUGUUUGUAUGGUAAGUAUUGUGACAGAGAUGAGUCUUUUCACAUUUUUAUUUCUGGUGUUAUUGCGUAUCUGACAAACUUAACACUUUUGUGGAAGUUGUUUUGUACAUUUGGAAAAAAAGCUAAAGAUUUAAUUUAGAAAGUGUUGCAGUGAGUUGUUUAGCAGGAUGUCUGACUAAAGUGCUAUUUUUGACGUCUCAUUUGUUUGUAUCCAUUUCAACUGGAUUCUCUAAUGCAUGUAUUGUGAAAUGUGAUAUAGCCAUUUUGAAAAAGCAUGAAUGUUUAUGGAUCACCAUCAUGCGGCUUUGUCACCAACCUAAAAAGCAAUCUUGCAUUGGGAAGAAUCUGGUUGAAACCUAAAUGUUUUAAAUGCAACUUUAUUUGCAGUCAAGUUCUGUGGAAAAGCCUUCAUUGAAAUCUCUUCUGCAGUUCACCUCUCUUCCAUUUUCCUGUGAGGAAGCUCCUCUAUGGCAGCAUUCUUGGGGUGAUAUCGGUAUCAUUCUCCCUCUUCCCACCUGUAAAUGCUAUGCCAUCAAAGAACGGCUUCACUCCGCAUGUUCUAAGAGACGGGACCUUGGGCUCCGCUGGUCGAGGUCUCCGUUUGAACCCUGACUGAAGUCUGUUCUGAAGGACGAAGAUGGAAGUACCAAUACUUUCAGUGUGGCCUUCUCAGACAUGGGGUAGUACCAGUCUUUUUGCUGCUUUUGCUGGCUUGUCGGAGUGAAUGAUCCCCUUUGAUUAUCUACAGCAACUUUUAAGGUUUGAGGGAUAUUUUAAGAUGGGUAGUGUGUCAUUGUCUUCAUUUUAAACCCAACUGGGUGAGCUCAGCAGUCUGGCAUCAUCCUUCCAAACUAUCUAUUUUCAGUAAUUUGGCUAAAGUAAUUUUACAGUUCUUGACAUGUUUCUGAAAAUAAGGGACUUUAAGAUGGCCUUAUAAACCUAGCAACAACUUUAUACAGUACACGUGUAGCUGGUCAGAAAUAAGUUAACCUCAGCUAUAAAUUAUACUCUUGGAUAGUUUCAAUGUUUCAAACAUUUAUUUUACAUUGACAGAUGUGUUGACUCAAGUUUAACACUUUAAUGUAGUCCAUAAUAUUGAGACCUGUUUUUAAGGUUUUAUCUUCACUAUUUGCAUAAGAAACAUAAGAAUGUACUACAGAACAGUAAAAUAUAAAGGUUAUAGUUAAAGAAUCAACAAGAGAAAUUUGGUAGAUUCUAUGACAGAUGUAGAUUGCUUUAGAUAAUACAGGCAUACCUAUUAAGUGAUCAGUGUGUACGUUCAAAAUAGUCAACUGUACUAUUACAUAUUUUAGUUUAAAGAAACAAGGCAGGUACAUCGUUAAGCAGAGUUCUGCCAAAUGCACACACAUUUAAUUUUGCAUCAGCAGGUCACAGGACAGAUAUGUUAUUUAUUGUAAGUACAUAAAACUACAGUUAUUUAUAAAAUGUCUUAAGUGUAGAGUCCCCAUAACAUUAAAUGACAGCCUUGACACUUAAAUGAUUGCUAAUAGCCUUCAAGUUUAUUUUGAAUGUUGGGCAGAAGUGUGACACUGCAGGGCUGCCUGUGUCCUUUCCUUAUUCUUUGCUCUCCUCCUCAGUGUCUCUGCUUUUCCUCUUCCCAGUACUCUUCUUUUCCUGGUUCAGUUCUUCAGUUUUAUUUUGUAUGUGGAUGGACUGAAAUAAAUAAAAGCAAAUUUAAAACAA